This 422-nucleotide ribosomal RNA is filed under the name uncultured bacterium. Its description in RNAcentral is "partial 16S ribosomal RNA". It matches the Rfam family "Bacterial small subunit ribosomal RNA", at positions 359 to 773 of the family's 1533-position model. The record is from RNAcentral.
GAAUUUUGGACAACGGGGGCAACCCUGAUCCAGCCAUCCCGCGUGUGCGAUGAAGGCCUUCGGGUUGUAAAGCACUUUUGGCAGGGAAGAACAGGCUCUGGCCAAUACCUGGCGCUGCUGACGGUACCGGCAGAAUAACCACCGGCUAACUACGCGCCCGCAGCCGCGGUAAUACGUAGGGUGCAAGAGUUAAUCGGAAUUACUGGGCGUAAAGCGUGAGCAGGCGGUUCGGCAAGAAGGAUGUGAAAUCCCAGGGCUUAACCUUGGAACUGCAUUCUUAACUGCCGGGCUAGAGUAUGUCAGAGGGGGGUAGAAUUCCGCGUGUAGCAGUGAAAUGCGUAGAGAUGCGGAGGAAUACCGAUGGCGAAGGCAGCCCCCUGGGAUAAUACUGACGCUCAUGCACGAAAGCGUGGGGAGCAAAC